CCAAACCACCCACCAUUCCCAUAACCUACAGCUAAGAGGGGGACCUCACCCCUCACCAUGACUUUGGGAGCAUGGUGUGUGGGUUAGAAAACUAUGCGAACACCUACACCCUGAACUCUUUCACAUUCAAAAGAAGAAAAGAAAAUAUGUAUACAUACACAAUAAUAAUAACCCCAUGUCCCCAUGUUUUUUCACCAUACACCACACACACUUGUGUGUGCUUGUCGGAGCAAUCGAGAGUGGCAAGAGGGACUAGAUAAAGAAGUGGGUGACCGGCCACCUGGUCACGGCGGAGCCGACGAGAUACACGGCAGCCGUCGACACGCCGGUGACGGCAAGCGGCGGCGGCAAAAGGUUUUCCGGCGACCCCUUCUCCGACGAAAUACCUCUACCCCACUAAAAACGAGCCUCCUAAACUUGAAUCCGACCUCUGAUUUCCGAUUUAAACAACUGUGGUGGCAGAUUCAUGUCCGUCAGCCGGGUUUCACGAGUUCGACGCGAGUAAGUUCAACACCUUCAGUUUCUAAACUCCGAUCUGUUUGAAUCUCCUUCAUUUAAAGUUUCUCCUACUUUUUUUAUACAAAUUUUUAACUCGGGUUCGUUGGUUUUUUUUUUCGGAUGAUGUUGAUGAUGAAUCUGCUGAUGCCGAUGAUGAUGGUGAUGUCGGUGGUGGCAGACGGCAGCCGGAGCCACGCCGUCGGAGAAGGGCGGCGGCUGUGGUGGUGGUUAUACAGUUCAGCUCAGGUCAGACUUGGUCGAACAGGUUCGGUCAACAUUUAGUCAACAGCAGUUAAUGGAUUGGUUUCGGGUCAGAAUUCGGUUCGGGUUUCGCGGCACGGUCGGUCCGGGUCAACUCAAUUCGAUGUCGGGUCAACCAAAUCAACAGCGGUCAAACUGUCAACUAUGGUCAAACGGUCAAAGUCAGUCAAGACUCGGUCAACUCAGGACCUGGAAUGUCAUAGUUGCACGCUAGCUAAUUCAUGUUCUUGGAACGACACUACGGAAACACGCUAAGCUAGCUUUGCACAGGAAUGUCAAGUUAAUACACGUCCCUGAUUUGAUGGAAGAUACGAAACUUUGGCGAGAUUGAAAUUCGAAGAGUGGGACCAGUCAUCAAGGUGUGGAUAUCAAUCCUAGCUUGACAAUUUCGUCCCCAAAAUGUGGUUUAUUGAACGAACAAGAUAAAAUCUCGAGUCAUCAAUAAGGAUCCACUAGAAUAUGAAAUGGAAAUUUCCAUCAAGAUUGGGAUGUCACUCCUGACUUGGUGGUAAAUUUCGUGCAAAAUAACAUGAUGGAUAGAUUGAAAUUCGUCACCAAAGGCGGGAUUCACCCCUAUUUUGAUGAGUCGUUUCGAUUGUGGAAUAUGAGCGUCUUCAAGUCCUUAGCGUGUAAUUUGCGUAUAAUGUCUUAGGAUGAACGAAUCGUUUAAUUAUGGCGAAAGAAAUAGAAAGAAGCAAGGUAGGAGAAUUUGAGUGUCUUUAAAGCAUGAAACAAGAAUGGUCAAGUAUGGGUACCUGAACUAUAGACUAGGUCAAAAGCAUAGCAAUUUUCCUAAUUCCCUAUAGUUAUGGCUCUGAUACCAAUCUGUCACACCCCAACCGAUGGCGGAAACAUCGGGAUGAGACGAAAACUAGAUUGCUCGAGACUUCAUAACGCUUACGUGUGUCAAGUAUUUAAUGUUUGCAUUUUACAUGGUUUGAUCUAAAACAUAACAAAUUUAAAAUAAAUAAUGCACAAUAAGUAUUCAAAUAAUUAUAGUUCAUUUCAUUUAUAAUGAAUUAUUACAAGUAUUGGAACCAUAAUACAACAGGAUUGAAGGUAAAUUACAAUACAACGAGCAACAAAGUUUAAAUGUGUUUGAUGUCGGUUGCGUUAAAAACGCUUACGCGUCGCUUGUCAUUUUUUUUAUUCGUUUUCGACUGUGAUUCUAAAAAUAGAAAGCGAAUACGAUUUUUUUUAAAUAGAAAUGCAGAAAUACGAGGCGUUACAGGUGCUCAGGCAUGUAUGAAGUUUUAUGCUGAUUCAAAACGAAGGGAUGUUGAAUUUCAAGCGGGUGAGUGGGUGUACGUCAAAUUGCAGCCUUUUCGCCAACAUUCGCUUCGUCUGCAUCGUCAUUAUAAACUGAACCGAAGGUACUUUGGGCCUUACCAAGUUCUUGAGAAAGUUGGCCAAGUCGCUUAUAAACUUAAUCUGCCAUCCGAAUCUAAAAUUCAUAAUGUGUUCCAUGUUUCAAUGCUCCGUAAAUGUAUCGGAACACCCAACCAGCAAGUUACACCACUCCAUUUGGUGGAUUCUUCCACCACCCUCAUCCUGGAACCAUUUGCAGUCCUGGAUCAACGCACACUGUUUCGAGGUUCAACUCCAAUUCCUCAAUACUUGAUUCAAUGGUCAGGUCUACCUGCCACGGAUGCCACUUGGGAGGACAAGACUAGUUUGCAAAAAUCCUUUCCUAACUUCCACCUUGAGGACAAGGUGUUUCUAAAUGAAGGGGGUAAUGUUGUGCCCACAACCAGCCCAACAAAGAGCCAAGAAUUCAGCCCACAAGCAGCAGGCCCAAACCAGAUCAGAAAGAGUGAAAGAGCAAAAGUCCUUCCUGCAAAGUUAAAGGACUACAAGUUGCAAUAGUGAUUGGUGCAGGGGUAUUUAAUUAAUUAUGUUGUUCUAUUAAGUGUCAUGAGAAUGUGGUGAGGAGGGCAUGAUGAUUGUUAAGAAGUUUGUUAGAUCUCUCUUCUCACCCAAUUUGCUGUAACUUCUCAUCCCCCAUUCUUUUGAUUAAUAGAACCCUAUCCCUAUAUGCUCUCUUAUUUGAAUUUC
RNA transcript from Helianthus annuus (common sunflower), 2814 nucleotides. RefSeq lists it as uncharacterized. The record is from RefSeq and is a predicted model, not a curated record. The transcript has 4 exons. NCBI's taxonomy places the organism in Eukaryota, Viridiplantae, Streptophyta, Magnoliopsida, Asterales, Asteraceae.